RNAcentral lists this ribosomal RNA (97 nucleotides) under Pogona vitticeps (central bearded dragon). The record is from RNAcentral. Lineage: Eukaryota; Metazoa; Chordata; Lepidosauria; Squamata; Agamidae.
CUAUAUCACCAUGGACACACCUGAUCUCAUCUGAUUUGGGAAGCUAAGUGGGUCAGGCCUAGUGAAUUGGAUGGAAGACCACCAGGGAAUACCAGGG